AUUGAACGCUGGCGGCAGGCCUAACACAUGCAAGUCGAACGAGUGGCGGACGGGUGAGUAAUGUCUGGGAAACUGUCUGAUGGAGGGGGAUAACUACUGGAAACGGUAGCUAAUACCGCAUACCAUAAGAUGAGCCCAGGUGGGAUUAGCUUGUUGGUGGGGUAAAGGCUCACCAAGGCGACGAUCCCUAGCUGUUCUGAGAGGAUGACCGGCCCCACUGGAAUUGAGAAAGGGUCCAGACUCCUACGGGAGUCAGCAGUGGGGAAUAUUGCACAAGGGGCGCAAGCCUGAUGCGGCCAUGCCGGGUGUAUGAAGAGGGCCUUCGGGUUGUAAAGUACUUUCAGCAGGGAGGCGUUACCCACAGAAGAAGCACCGGCUAACUCCGUGCCAGCAGCCGCGGUAAUAC
RNAcentral lists this ribosomal RNA (406 nucleotides) under uncultured bacterium. Its description in RNAcentral is "partial 16S ribosomal RNA". It matches the Rfam family "Bacterial small subunit ribosomal RNA", at positions 30 to 526 of the family's 1533-position model. The record is from RNAcentral.